RNAcentral lists this ribosomal RNA (502 nucleotides) under uncultured bacterium. Its description in RNAcentral is "bacterial SSU rRNA". It matches the Rfam family "Bacterial small subunit ribosomal RNA", at positions 791 to 1299 of the family's 1533-position model. The record is from RNAcentral.
UAGUCCACGCCGUAAACGAUGAUCACUCGAUAUUGGCGAUAAAAUGUCAGUGUCUAAGAGAAAUUGAUAAGUGAUCCACCUGGGGAGUACGAUCGCAAGGUUGAAACUCAAAGGAAUUGACGGGGGCCCGCACAAGCGGUGGAGCAUGUGGUUUAAUUCGAUGAUACGCGAGGAACCUUACCAGGGCUUAAAUGCAGAACGACCGCUUGGGAAACCAGGCUUUCUUCGGACGGUUUGCAAGGUGCUGCAUGGUUGUCGUCAGCUCGUGCCGUGAGGUGUCGGGUUAAGUCCCAUAACGAGCGCAACCCCUACCCUUAGUUGCCAGCGGAUAAUGCCGGGGACUCUGAGGGAACUGCCGGUGCAAACCGUGAGGAAGGUGGGGAUGACGUCAAAUCAUCACGGCCCUUACGUCCUGGGCUACACACGUGCUACAAUGGUGCAUACAGAGGGCAGCUACCUGGUGACAGGAUGCGAAUCUCGAAAGUGCAUCUCAGUUCGGAUC